CUGUCUUCCUUCCCCUUCUCUUCCUUCCUCCCGGCUGCGUCUCCUUGGCUCCACCCCUCCUCCUCAUCAAUUCCUCCCACACUUCCCUGCUCUCCCUGGCUUUUCACUGGAGGGUCCCUUCUCCCAGCGAGGAGCAGAUGCUGAGCCCCAUUGUCUCUCCCCCAGUGACUGCAGCCUCCGGGGGACAGGACCUGCCACUCUUCACCCCUCCCCCUCAGCCCGCAGACCUACUCCUUUAAAGACUGAAUCCCCAAGGCCACUGCCCCUCACCCCACCCUAAACCAGCUCCUGGUGUUGUGAGCGAUGACUCCAGUCACUCAGAACAUGAUUUGUUUCUGUCUGGGAGUGAGAAAACAGUAGCCUGAGACUGCUUUAGCAAGGAGGACACCAUGGUUUCCAUAUCAGGGUAGUGAGCCCUGGAUGACCCCAGAACAUUCCCCCACUGUGCCCUCUUAAUGGGGAAGAAGCCACAUUCCUGUCAUUUUAUAUCCUGCUUGAUGCACCUAAGCAGUAUCUUCUAGAUAAAGCAAAACAGCUCUGAGAGUCAAGCAUUCAUGUAACAACAAAUACCUACUGAGUUCUGCUCUGUGCCCGCUCCUGUUCUGGGUGCUAAGGACCUGUCAGCACACACAAUCCUCACUUAGGCUUUGCAGAUUGGCAGGGGGAAAAGCAAGAAGACAGACAACCAGAUGCCACUUGUUCCAUAUAAGGAUGAACCAAGGAAGCACCUAAGAGGUUGCUUGGACUAGGGUGGUCAGGGAUGGCUUUCUGGAGGAGGUUACAUCUAGAUGAAUAGGGCUAUGCCAGGCAAAUGCAUAGGAAGGCACAGCCUGUCCAAAGGCCCUAGGGCAAGAGAGCAUAUCCUUAGAGAUUCUUAAAACUACCACAAGUAUUUGCUGCAAUGGACAGUACAAGUGGGGACAGCAGUGUCAGCGCACAACUCUGGGAGGGAAGAGUGGUGGGUGUGUCAGGGCAUAAGUGGGGGAGGGGGUCGGGUACCAGGGAGAUGUUCAAAUUUUAGCUUCUCCUGCUUGCUAACUUCGUGAAACUGGGGUGAUUAACAGCCUCAGUGGAUGACUUAGACUCCAUUUCUUUACUUAUAAAAAGGGUAAGAAGACUUGUGGGUGCAGAGACAGUGUCUUUUUAUGUUUAAGGGUUCAGGCUUACUUGCUGCAUAUUGGCAAGUUGACUUCUCUAAAUUUAAGUUUUCUCAUCUGAAAUAGGGAUGAAAACACUUGACUCAGGGUUUCUGAGAGGUUUAAAUGGUCCCAUUCCCAUCUCAAUGUCUGGGACAUAAGCUCCAAUACAUGGGAGUUUUUAUUCAUUGUUAUAAAUCAGGGAGUGCCAGGGAGGUGCCCAUACAACCUGGAAAUGAGAUUUAUGUUCUGAGUUAAAACUAGAGUGACUCACCAUGUCAGAAACGCAAUGAGCUGGCUGUGGAGGAUACAUUCCUUCAGAGAUGCCCUGUGUCCCUGUGGGUGGUUGGGGUUGGGGAACACCUAUGUCUGAUCUAGGUGGUCAGGGUAUUGUCUCCGAAACAAGACCAGAAUGUGAAGGCUGUGGUUACUAAGGCCUGGCCUGAUCAUUGGAGGUGUAGCCUGACGGAAGAACAAAUAAGAGAAGAGAGUGGGCCUCGUAAAAUCCUGGAGGGCCCCUAGGAGCAGGCGCCUGGCUGUAUUUGCUCAGUGAAGAGAACUAGACACAGAAGUUCACACUGGAGAGGCGAGGGGGAGAAAGACUUUUGACUCCUCCAGAACCUGAAUUAAAUCUCUCAAAACCUCUUUAGUCCUUUGCUUGGGUUCCUUGUUCUCCAAGCAAUUUGCAGAUGAACUUGGCACCAGCAAAAUGCCCCCUGGAUCCAGGCAGACUUCAGGGUUCUUGUUCCUGCAUUGUAAACCUUUUACACUUCUUUUAUUUCUUUAUGACACAAGUUCAUUCUGAGAGAAUUUGAUAACUAGCUAAGCAAAACUGAAAAAGAACCCCUGUAGAGACAUGUUUUGGUGUAUAUCCUUGGACAUUUUAUGUCCACAUAUCUACACAUAAAUGCACGUAGUAAUAAAACUAUACAAAGUAAAUAUUGUUAAACAAAUGAAUGACUAUACGUGUAGAUACAUUAUUUUUACAAAAUUAAACAAGAAUGGUAUAUUCCUACCAAACUGCAACCACUUUUACUUGGUAAUGGUGUCACAAAUCUCUCUCCCUGUCUGUAGACAUCCACAUUAUCAUUCUUAAUGAACAAUAUUAUUCCUUGCCCUUCUCUUACUGGUUAAACAAAUUGCUGGACUUGUGGGAUAUUUCCAGUUUUUCACUUUUGUGGACCUGCUAUGAUAAGCACACUGCACAGUCACCUUUGUGCCAGGUAAAUGUUAUAUUCUGAUCAUCAUUUUACAGCUGGGGAGACCAAGGCACAGAAAAAUUUAAAACCUUUCCAAGGUCACAUCUAUGGAGUGACUGAGCCAGAAUUUGCAGCCCAAGUUUCCAGUUGAGAGCAUCUCUGUUUUCUCCUUUUCUUUAGAGUGACAGUCCCCUCCUCGUACCUCCCCAUUACCUUUUUCUCUUCCAGAUCACCUCCCUGUGAGAACCUGUCUGGGCAGGUGACCCACUUCAUUCUCUGACACCUGGGUAACUUAAGCAAUGUCCAUCUCCUAGGGUUGCUGGGAGGAAUGGAAACAGGCAUUAAUUAAACAUGUCUGAAAAAGAAAGACUCCAUUGUGAAACCAUGAUGAUGAGCAAGACAGGAGGGGAAUUUGAAGUCUUCUCUACUGAGACAGCAAGAAUCAGAAGGAGAAAAUCUAAACCACCUCCUUCAGCUUCUCAGAAGCACCCCGGACAGAGCGCCGACCCUUGACCAGCUUUCGGAGGCUGCACUUUUUCUCGGCAGGACUUCACACCAUCUGAUCUGACAUAUGCCUAAUUGCUUACUUGUUUCCCGUCUUCUCUCCCCACUGGAGUCAGCUUCCUGCGAAGAGAGAACUUUGUUUUGUUUUCUUAAUUAAACUUUUUUAUUUUGAGA
Molecule: non-coding RNA, 3013 nt
Organism: Vicugna pacos (alpaca)
Lineage: Eukaryota; Metazoa; Chordata; Mammalia; Artiodactyla; Camelidae
Source: RefSeq, a predicted model, not a curated record